Molecule: long non-coding RNA, 404 nt
Organism: Suricata suricatta (meerkat)
Lineage: Eukaryota; Metazoa; Chordata; Mammalia; Carnivora; Herpestidae
Exons: 2
Source: RefSeq, a predicted model, not a curated record
GGUCCCCGCGCCGCCACGCACCCGCAAACCGGGUGGCCAGGGGUCCAAGCUGCGCCAACUUAGGCCAAGCCAGGAAAAGUCUCGGCGCACCGUUGUGUAUCCCCCGCACCGCUUCGGCGGAACAGCCUUGGAAACUUCCUGUAGUUCAAACACUUCGGGUUUCACUCCUUUUGGUGCAGAAACUUGGAAAGUGUAGAAACCUGGCAAAAGCACGCCGUUUUAUGAUCGUCAUCUUUAAUUGAUUAUCCACACGUGUGAGUUUGACUUCUCAGCAGGAAUACUGUACUUUUACUCUCCCGCACUUCAUUUGACGUGCGAUUACUUAAAUCCCCAAAUUCCUUAAUCUUGAAAAUUACCUGUAAAUAACAUUCGUCUGGAAUACGAAAUAAAACGUGUAAGUAGGA